UACGUAGGGUGCAAGCGUUAAUCGGAAUUACUGGGCGUAAAGCGUGCGCAGGCGGUUAUGUAAGACAGGCGUGAAAUCCCCGGGCUUAACCUGGGAACUGCAUUUGUGACUGCAUAGCUAGAGUACGGUAGAGGGGGAUGGAAUUCCGCGUGUAGCAGUGAAAUGCGUAGAUAUGCGGAGGAACACCGAUGGCGAAGGCAAUCCCCUGGACCUGUACUGACGCUCAUGCACGAAAGCGUGGGGAGCGAUCCGG
RNAcentral lists this ribosomal RNA (253 nucleotides) under uncultured bacterium. RNAcentral's name for it is "partial 16S ribosomal RNA". It matches the Rfam family "Bacterial small subunit ribosomal RNA", at positions 524 to 776 of the family's 1533-position model. The record is from RNAcentral.